UACGGAAGGUCAGGGCGUUAUCCGGAUUUAUUGGGUUUAAAGGGAGCGCAGGCGGAUUUGCAAGUCAGCCGUGAAAAGCUGUGGCUCAACCACAGUCGUGCGGUUGAAACUGCAUGUCUUGAGACAGCGCAGCGGCACUGGAAUUCGUGGUGUAGCGGUGAAAUGCUUAGAUAUCACGAAGAACUCCGAUCGCGAAGGCAGGUGCCGGGAGCUGUUCUGACGCUGAGGCUCGAAAGUGCGGGUAU
RNAcentral lists this ribosomal RNA (245 nucleotides) under uncultured Paraprevotella sp. Its description in RNAcentral is "partial 16S ribosomal RNA". It matches the Rfam family "Bacterial small subunit ribosomal RNA", at positions 524 to 768 of the family's 1533-position model. Lineage: Bacteria; Pseudomonadati; Bacteroidota; Bacteroidia; Bacteroidales; Prevotellaceae. The record is from RNAcentral.